AUCACUAUCAAAAAUAAUAAAAUAUUCCAUGACCAAUCUACAAUAACCGGUUAUUCUAGUAACCAGGUUAUUGAAAAUUUCCCCCAAAAGUUUCUCUCUCUUCAUUAUUUUAUUAUUAUUCCACUUUCUCUCCUUUAAUAACCACCCUCAGUGACCAAUGGCUGGGUAUGCUAUUAUAUAAACAUCAAUAUUUUUUACCACCCUCUCUCCUAAACUACUACUACCACCACCACCUCCACCUCAUCCUCCUCCUCCUCCCUUUUACAUACAAACCACCACCAUCCAUACUACACAAACCACCACAGCAAUUCUACCUGAUUUCGUGUAUCCGGCGACCGGCUAGGCUUCUCAAGGCUUCAAUAAUGGAGCGGCGACAAGAUUUUUUUUCCCAAGGUCCCUGCGUAUAUUCUUUGGAAAAUUUCGGAAAAAUUAGCGAAUUCUACUACAAGGAAAUGCAAUUUGAACGAUCGAUUUUACUCACGGGCAAGAUACCCUGAGUUGCAAUUUAGCUAGCGUAUAAUAAACACUAGCUAAUUAUCGACAUCUUUGAACCAUUUGUUAUUCUUUAAUUUCUUUUUUCAAUGGUGGAAAAGUGGUCAAAUAGACAAAUACCCUAAUAUAAUUGAAUUACCAUAAUAAUCUUAAAAUGGGGUUAAAAGUUACCCUUGGUAAAUAAGCAUAAAAAUAUUGAAUGGGCAAAAUGGGUUAAAAUUUACCCUUGGAUUUUCCUCUGUGUAAUCAAAUAUUUUUAAAAAGUGUUUGAAUUCCCGUGCUUAACUCACUUCUUCUCUAUUGCAUUCUUUCACUCUCUUCGCUUUCUCCUUUUCUCUCUUCUACAAAUGUCAUUUUGUACUCAAUUUCAACCACCUUUAAAUGCCAAAAAGAUUCAAUACCUAGAGGUAUCUUGCUAGUAAACCCAUUAAUAGCGUCGAUAAAACCCUAAGCUCUAAGGUUUCGACAAAAGAAGCUGGGGUUCUAGCAGAAACAGAGGCGUGAAGAUCCAAGGUUGGAAAAUUUUUGAGAAUACACUAUUUUUGGUAAGUUUAGUUUAAAUUUUGAGAAUAUACUACUCCCUCCGUCCCUAACUUACAUUCCUCCUUUCUAUUUUUGGUAUUUCAAAAUUACAUUCCUCCUUUCAAUUUUUGGUAAGUUUUUUUUAGUAAAUCAACUUUUUUUUUCUGUUUUAUAUUUAAUGCUUUCUCACUCAUCCUUACCUAAUUUCACUCAUAAUCCUUGUGUCAAAUUACAAUAAAAAUAAUUGGUUAAAAAUUUUCAAUUAGGAGCAUGUAAUUGGUCCUUUUUUUUUUGCAAAAGAUUAAUGACAUGUCAUAAGUAAUAACUAAUCUAUCUUUGUACUUCCCAUUGCAUUAUCUAAUUAUUGUUAUUUGUCUUAUUCUUUCCUCCUUAAUUCCCGUGUAAAUUUCCAAAGAGGAAUGUAAUUUAGGGACGGAGGGAGUAUAUUCGGUAACAUUAUCUAUGUAUUAUGUUAUGUAAUCUGUUUUUGGAUGGUAGAAUUGAUGUAUAUUUGGUGUAGAUUUUUUAUUUUUUGUUUUUUUUAUUAAUGUCAGAAUCGGUAUAAAAUUGUAUAAUGACAUUGGUUUGGUUAUGUUUUUUCUACUAGUAGUUCAAAUUCCAAUAUGUUAAGACAUAGAUAAGAUCUGCUUCUUAUUACAAGUAUUAUGGAGUAAAUAAAUUGAAGCAUGCAAAAAUAACACAUACUCCGUAAUUGUUUUA
Molecule: long non-coding RNA, 1734 nt
Organism: Chenopodium quinoa (quinoa)
Lineage: Eukaryota; Viridiplantae; Streptophyta; Magnoliopsida; Caryophyllales; Amaranthaceae
Exons: 2
Source: RefSeq, a predicted model, not a curated record